This 478-nucleotide ribosomal RNA is filed under the name uncultured bacterium. RNAcentral describes it as "partial 16S ribosomal RNA". It matches the Rfam family "Bacterial small subunit ribosomal RNA", at positions 28 to 507 of the family's 1533-position model. The record is from RNAcentral.
GAUGAACGCUGGCGGCGUGCUUAACACAUGCAAGUCGAACGAGAAAUGGAGACGGAAACCUUCGGGCGGAAGGCUUCAUUUCGAGUGGCGGACGGGUGAGUAACGCGUGGGUAACCUGCCUCAUACAGGGGGAUAACAGUUGGAAACGACUGUUAAUACCGCAUAAGACCACAGCACCGCAUGGUGCGGGGGUAAAAACUCCGGUGGUAUGAGAUGGACCCGCGUUCGAUUAGCCAGUUGGCGGGGUAACGGCCCACCAAAGCGACGAUCGAUAGCCGAUCUGAGAGGAUGACCGGCCACAUUGGGACUGAGACACGGCCCAAACUCCUACGGGAGGCAGCAGUGGGGAAUAUUGCACAAUGGGGGAAACCCUGAUGCAGCGACGCCGCGUGAGUGAAGAAGUACUUCGGUAUGUAAAGCUCUAUCAGCAGGGAAGAAUAUGACGGUACCUGAGUAAGAAGCCCCGGCUAACUACGUG